ACUGCGAGUGAGAGGGAAGAGCUCAAAUUUAAAAUCUGGUUGUUCUUGCAGCGGCCCGAGUUGUAGUUUAGAGAAGUGCUAUCCGCGCCAGCCCGUGCAUAAGUUUCUUGGAAAAGAACAUCAUAGAGGGUGACAAUCCCGUCUUUGGCACGGACUACUGGGGCUUUUGUGAUGUGCUCUCGACGAGUCGCGUUGUUUGGGAAUGCAGCGCUAAAUGGGUGGUAAAUUCCAUCUAAAGCUAAAUAUUGGCGAGAGACCGAUAGUGAACAAGUACCGUGAGGGAAAGAUGAAAAGAACUUUGAAAAGAGAGUUAAACAGUAUGUGAAAUUGUUGAAAGGGAAACGCUUGAAGUCAGUCGUGUCUUCUGGAGAUCAAGUUGCCUUUGGGUGACUGUACUUUCUGGUUGACGGGUCAGCAUCAAUUUUGACCGUUGGAAAAGGGCCUUGGUAAUGUGGCAUCCUUUUUGGAUGUGUUAUAGACCUUGGUCACAUACGAUGGUUGGGAUUGAGGAACUCAGUGUGCCUUCAUGGUUGGGGCCUUAUCGCUCACACCCGCACGCUUAGGAUGCUGGCAUAAUGGCUUCAAUCGACCCGUCUU
RNAcentral lists this ribosomal RNA (597 nucleotides) under Ramariopsis atlantica. RNAcentral describes it as "eukaryotic LSU rRNA". It matches the Rfam family "Eukaryotic large subunit ribosomal RNA", at positions 86 to 655 of the family's 3401-position model. The record is from RNAcentral. Lineage: Eukaryota; Fungi; Basidiomycota; Agaricomycetes; Agaricales; Clavariaceae.